This is a long non-coding RNA of Papaver somniferum (opium poppy), 1549 nucleotides long. RefSeq lists it as uncharacterized. The record is from RefSeq and is a predicted model, not a curated record. NCBI's taxonomy places the organism in Eukaryota, Viridiplantae, Streptophyta, Magnoliopsida, Ranunculales, Papaveraceae. The transcript has 5 exons.
AAUUAGUUUUUCAUCUCCGAAAGAAAAAGUCUCAAUUGAUUCUUCAUUUCGUUGGCGUUUUAGCAUCAAUUACAAAAAUUGUAAAAAAAAAGCAACUUCACGCACGAAAGAAGGAAGCAGAAUCUGAACUUUGUAGUUAAUUAUCUGAUGCAUAACAAAGUAGAGAAGAGUAGUUGUUCUUCAUUUUAGACGAUCCACUCAUUGCUACCGGAAAAAGAUAAUGGUUUUGAUAUCUGAUUGAUUUCGUGUAAUAUAUUAGUAAUUAAAAAUAGUUUUUUUUUUUUUGAUUGUUUGAUUAUUUGAUUGAUGGAAAGGUUCAACUGCUUAUAAUGUUUGAUUGUCUGAUUUUUAGGGGUUUAAAUUUGUAGGUUUGGUUUUCAUUGUAAAAAAUAUAUGAGUUUACUAAGGUAUAGGGUUAUUGUUUUAUUUUUUUCUUCGUAGAUUUUUACCUUUGUUGAUUAGAGGUACUAGAUCACUGUGAUUACUUUCUUUUACUAAUUUUUUUCUUCUUUGGGUAUCAAAUAUUUUGGUGAGACAAGGUAUGGACAACUUAGCCUAUGUAAGUGCCGGUCGAGAUUUGUUUUUCCAAUUGAUAAAUCUACAGUUUUGGUUGAUCCUAUCAAGAAAAUGCUGUGCGUCACAAAAAAAGAGGAGCGCACUUUGGUAAUCCUGAAAACCUUGUCGCGCGCGGAGAUGUUGUUGCUCUGGAAGGAAUUGCUAAUCCCCUGUAAUAACUGAAUUAAGAGCUGGAAAUGAUAGAGUUGGUGUUACUGUUCCUCUCAGGACUGUUGCUUAUAUAACAAAACUAGAGGUGCUCCCUGUCAGAACACAUUGACAUCAGAAAUGGUCUGCACAUCGCAUAUUAGGUGAACCAGUAAAUGCUAUAUUGUUCCUUAUAAAUUGUUAAAUUCCCUAUACAUGGAAUGUUUUCCGUAACCCUGAGAUUGUUCGGAUGUCUUUUGGUGUCCGGAUACAUGGUUGAAAAAUCACCCCAGAUUUUUUUGUUUCUUCAAUUACAUAUUGAAAGUUUUAUGUUUUUUUCUUGCUUUGUAGAUGUUUCUGAUUAUAAUUUGUGUUAUGCUCAUCUUACACAAGAAUGGCAUCUUAUUGUGAUCAAGCAGGCAACAUAGCGCAACUACUACUAACAGUGAUUAAAGUGUUGUCUUUUUGUUUGUUUGUGUAAUUUGAUUUUGUUAAUGCGAUUAUUCAGUUGUAUUGGUUGUGAUUUUUUGUGUGGAGAAUAUCAGGACAGAGUUUAGCUUAAAGUUGUUCAAUGACCACUUAUAUUUUUAAUGGAUCAAGAAAAUGAAUCCCACUUCUGCUCCAACUCCAUAAUCAUUAGCUGUUCUAACUGUGGUUCCCGGAAGUGUUUACGAAUUAGGCAAAAAAAUCAAACACCAAAGAAUAUCGAUGGGAUAUAAAGCCGUUGUUUCAGAGGAAGGAGAUUCGAGCUUGCAUUGAUAUCUUGAUUUUCGUAUGAUAAAAUCCAAAUGGAAAAACAAACUGAUCUUUAGGUUGUAUUUAUAUAUCUUUAUAAUCAGUCCCUGGA